GUGACCUGCGGAAGGAUCAUUACCGAGUGCGGGCCCUCGUGGCCCAACCUCCCACCCUUGUCUCUAUACACCCGUUGCUUUGGCGGGCCCACCGGGGCCACCUGGUCGCCGGGGGACGUUCGUCCCCGGGCCCGCGCCCGCCGAAGCGCUCUGUGAACCCUGAUGAAGAUGGGCUGUCUGAGUACUAUGAAAAUUGUCAAAACUUUCAACAAUGGAUCUCUUGGUUCCGGCAUCGAUGAAGAACGCAGCGAAAUGCGAUAAGUAAUGUGAAUUGCAGAAUUCCGUGAAUCAUCGAAUCUUUGAACGCACAUUGCGCCCCCUGGCAUUCCGGGGGGCAUGCCUGUCCGAGCGUCAUUUCUGCCCUCAAGCACGGCUUGUGUGUUGGGUGUGGUCCCCCCGGGGACCUGCCCGAAAGGCAGCGGCGACGUCCGUCUGGUCCUCGAGCGUAUGGGGCUCUGUCACUCGCUCGGGAAGGACCUGCGGGGGUUGGUCACCACCAUAUUUUACCACGGUUGACCUCGGAUCAGGUAGGAGUUACCCGCUGAACUUAAGCAUAUCAAAA
Molecule: ribosomal RNA, 562 nt
Filed under: Talaromyces verruculosus
Lineage: Eukaryota; Fungi; Ascomycota; Eurotiomycetes; Eurotiales; Trichocomaceae
Description: eukaryotic LSU rRNA
Rfam family: 5.8S ribosomal RNA (bases 201-354)
Source: RNAcentral